CCCUUAGAUGUCCGGGGCCGCACGCGCGCUACACUGAAGGAAUCAGCGUGGCUUUCUCCCUGACCCGAAAGGGUUGGGAAACCCGUUGAAUCUCCUUCGUGAUAGGGAUUGGGGCUUGAAAUUGUUCCCCAGGAACGAGGAAUUCCCAGUAAGCGCGAGUCAUAAGCUCGCGUUGAUUACGUCCCUGCCCUUUGUACACACCGCCCGUCGCUACUACCGAUUGAACGGUUUAGUGAGGGCCUCGGAUUGGUCUCGGCCCGCUCUUUACCGGGCGGCGCCGUUGGUCGAGAAGACGCUCGAACUUGAUCGUUUAGAGGAAGUAAAAGUCGUAACA
This 334-nucleotide ribosomal RNA is filed under the name uncultured eukaryote. Its description in RNAcentral is "partial 18S ribosomal RNA". It matches the Rfam family "Eukaryotic small subunit ribosomal RNA", at positions 1470 to 1796 of the family's 1831-position model. The record is from RNAcentral.